GUCCUGGGAUCGCAGGCCUGGUAACUGAGUGGCCACUGGGCUCCUGUCACAUACGCCCACGGCCACGAGGCUGAGUCAAGGAAGAGGACAGCCCCACCACACCCAGACAGGAAACGCUGACCUCCUGCUGACCAUCACACCUGAAGGAGCACAGAGCAUGAGCCUCCAGGUCUGGGCUUGUGGUGAGCAG
RNAcentral lists this long non-coding RNA (190 nucleotides) under Cavia porcellus (domestic guinea pig). Its description in RNAcentral is "lncRNA (ENSCPOG00000035876.1)". Lineage: Eukaryota; Metazoa; Chordata; Mammalia; Rodentia; Caviidae. The record is from RNAcentral.